CUAUGUUUGAUGAAAUAACACCUGAGUGUGAGACUCAUGGUGUGCCUGGCUCCCUGCUGGGAAAGGUCUGCUCCCAUCGGGCGGUACGGAGAAGCUGCUGAUGGUGUGUUUGACAAGGAAGCAACAGGAAGGAGAUGAGUGGAGGACGCCGGCGACACGACGUCGCGAUCGCCCUCGUUGGAACUGAACGACUCGGAGUGGUUCCUCCUCAUCAGCGCCACGCCGUCGCCCUGGCCCGCCAUCAUGUGUCUCAAGGUGUCGUUCAAGUACCGGUUCAGCAAGCUGCUCUUGUACUUGGACGGGGGAGAGGCGCUGUCGUCGCCGGCGGCCAUGCUUGUCCCUUUUGAGUCACUGGAGCCAAUCUUAGCUGCAUUCGGGUGGAAGGUGGGAUACACCCUGGACAAGUCGCCACUUCAUCAC
Molecule: long non-coding RNA, 420 nt
Organism: Nerophis ophidion (straightnose pipefish)
Lineage: Eukaryota; Metazoa; Chordata; Actinopteri; Syngnathiformes; Syngnathidae
Exons: 4
Source: RefSeq, a predicted model, not a curated record